This 253-nucleotide ribosomal RNA is filed under the name uncultured bacterium. RNAcentral describes it as "partial 16S ribosomal RNA". It matches the Rfam family "Bacterial small subunit ribosomal RNA", at positions 524 to 776 of the family's 1533-position model. The record is from RNAcentral.
UACGUAGGGGGCAAGCGUUGUCCGGAAUCAUUGGGCGUAAAGAGCGUGUAGGCGGUCCGGUAAGUCGGCUGUGAAAGUCCAGGGCUCAACCCUGGGAUGCCGGUCGAUACUGCCGGACUAGAGUUCGGAAGAGGCGAGUGGAAUUCCCGGUGUAGCGGUGAAAUGCGCAGAUAUCGGGAGGAACACCUAUGGCGAAGGCAGCUCGCUGGGACGUUACUGACGCUGAGACGCGAAAGCGCGGGGAGCAAACAGG